GCCACACACACACACACACAUGCAUGCACACGUGGUGCUUGACGUGCCUUGAUUUCGUCAAACUUACACGUGAGGCUCAGCACCAUCGCAGUCUCGAUGAGCGGGUCGCUGGAAUUACCGUCGCCACCGGCGGCGACGUUAGCGGAGGGUGGCGUGAGUGCUACCUUGUACCUGACAGCGCAGCGGUGGCGCUCGUACCUCCUGGAGCACUCAGUGGUAUUCCGUCGGCUGCAGGAGGAGCGUGAGCGGGGGUGGAGAUCGUCAGCAUUGGAUGAGUGGUAUGCGCGACGGCAGGCAGACACGACGCGCUCGUCGGCAGCUGGCGCCACCGUCGCCAGCCCCUCUCGGUCCGCAUCCGAACUGGCGGUGAAGCGCGGGACUCAAGUAGGUGAGGGCACCACGGCUUUCGUGAAUGCGGACGUGACAGUUCUGGCCGAGCGCUAUCGACAGCAUGCGCGGCGCAUCACCCAGCACGCGGCAAGCGCCUUCUUCAGGGCUGCCUCAAAGGUGAAUUCGUCUGAAAGCAGCCAUGCUGACGAGAAACCUGUGUCGCCUGCGCCGCUGUUUUUAGAUCUCGGCUGCGCGCCGGGCGGCGUGUCCAAGUACCUUGUGGAGGACUUAGGAUGGCGUGGUAUUGGUGUAACGCUGGCGCGCGCAGACGGCGGCAUCGAGGUGGACCCGCUGCUUCUUCAGAAAAGCACGUGCAGCGGCGCGUCGUUCGUGCUGCUUGACGGCGAUGUGACGCAGCCGCCAAGCACGUGGAAUCGUUCGGCGGCGUACGCACUUAUGGAAGGUGAGAGUUGCGCGACAAGAAUGCAGGCACAGGCAGUGCCCCGCGCAUCCUCGGCUGUCUGCACAGCUGACGUUUUGCCGCUAUCAGCAUCGCUGUUCAAGUCGAACUCCGCGGCGGCGCCGCGCUUCCACUUUGUUAACGGCGGCGCUGUGCUUGAUCAUGGCCAGCGACAACGGCGGGAGAGAGCGGAAGAGGCGACCUUGGCGUCUGCCUCGGUGCCGGGCGGUGGUGUGAUGCUGGGCGCGAGUGCGCGCGGUGGAGCAGAUUACGCUGAUACAUCGCUGACCGACUCUUCGCCGUCAACCUGCGCGCAGGCAGCGGCGCCCAUCCUGCCUUGGUUCAGCCUCCUCGUACCGCAGCUGAAAACGGCGCUGACGUAUGUUGCUACAGGCGGUGCGCUGAUGCUGGUGCACGGUGCCCCGCACUGCGCGAGCAUGUUCAUCCUGAUGCGGUGUAUGGAGGAGGCCGUGGGCGUGCCGGCAGCCACGCCCACGUCGGCGAGCCGAGGCCGCGUGCACGUUCUGGAGACGAUGCACCUUGCAAAGGCGCCUGUGUACUUGCUGUGGACGGGCGUUCGACCGCCGCGCAAGGACCCGUCUGAUGGGGCAGAAGCUAGGGCGAUGCAGGAUGCGCAGACGUGCCUACUCGAGGCGCUCAGCACAACAUCGCCGCGCAUCUUUCCGCUAUGUCGCACAACGUCCUCGACGCCAUAUAUCACCGCCACCAGCGAUAGUCGCGCACUGUUACGCGAGAAGCAGCGCCUGUGGCUAGGCGAGUCGGACGAGGGGUUUGAGCUGGCCGUGGAUGGUUUCCAGCGGUACGGUCAUCUCGUCGAGGGUGUCUGGGGGAGGAUGGAGGCGUUUCUCCGGCAGCGCCGCGAGCGGGCCGAGCGUGAGAUGCACAGCGGCGGUGGCGAUCCCCGUCGUGACCGGAGGGCGGUGUCCACGGCGGGCUUGAAGCGCAUGCGGAGUGACGGUUGAGCAGGCUCGAGCUCUGUGCAGUGACCCCACGAAAAUGCAGGUGCAAGCGGUGGAGUGGUGCAUGUGUAUCGCGUUCUCUCUGAGUGUGUGUAUGUGUGUGUGGCUGCAUUGCUCAGAGUUUCGGUCGCACCACACGUGCACCCUACUCAGUCGGGUAAGGUUAUAUGUGCGCACCAACCAGCAUCUGCAUACAGCCAAGCGCGCAUAUUCAUCGUUCAUACUCGUCUCCGCUGACUCCUCUCCCCUCCCCCUCGUUUUCUUUGCCAGCGCCUGCCCUCCUUUCCGAGACCAUGGCUGUCGGUUCCCUUUGCAGUGACGCUACACCGCGCUGGAGCAGUUGAGCCCCUCCCACACGUUUCGCCCCGCGGCGAGGAAUGUGGUGCACGUCGCAAAUCUAAAAG
This 2174-nucleotide unclassified non-coding RNA is filed under the name Leishmania donovani. RNAcentral's name for it is "gene:LdHU3.26.2830(CDS-product:FtsJ-like_methyltr ansferase_putative)". Lineage: Eukaryota; Euglenozoa; Kinetoplastea; Trypanosomatida; Trypanosomatidae. The record is from RNAcentral.